AGCUACUUAGGGUUAUAUCAUAAUUGAAAACCCUAACCGCUCUUAGAGAGAGACUAGAGAGAAAACAGUUUCAAAAAAUCCAUUCCUUUUGGUGGCUAGUACCGCAAGUCCUUCUUAUUGCAGAAUCGUUCGACGGUUCAUGCGGCGUUCGUGUGGAUACCGUAGAGACGCAAUCGGUUUGUAUUGCGUUGGAGAUUCAAG
RNAcentral lists this long non-coding RNA (201 nucleotides) under Panax ginseng (ginseng). Its description in RNAcentral is "long non-coding RNA (PGIN_LNC012618)". Lineage: Eukaryota; Viridiplantae; Streptophyta; Magnoliopsida; Apiales; Araliaceae. The record is from RNAcentral.